Molecule: ribosomal RNA, 250 nt
Filed under: uncultured bacterium
Lineage: Bacteria
Description: partial 16S ribosomal RNA
Rfam family: Bacterial small subunit ribosomal RNA
Source: RNAcentral
UAGGGAAUAUUGGGCAAUGGAAGCAAUUCUGACCCAGCCAUGCCGCGUGAAGGAAUACAGCCCUAUGGGUUUUAAACUUCUUUUAUUAUAGAGUAAACGGAGGUACGUGUACCUCCCUGCAAGUAUAUGAUGAAUAAGGAUCGGCUAACUCCGUGCCAGCAGCCGCGGUAAUACGGAGGAUCCAAGCGUUAUCCGGAUUUAUUGGGUUUAAAGGGUGCGCAGGCGGACUAAUAAGUCAGGGGUGAAAAGU